RNAcentral lists this transfer RNA (67 nucleotides) under Cardita variegata. Its description in RNAcentral is "tRNA-Thr". It matches the Rfam family "tRNA". From Rfam's summary of the family: Transfer RNA (tRNA) molecules are approximately 80 nucleotides in length. The record is from RNAcentral. Lineage: Eukaryota; Metazoa; Mollusca; Bivalvia; Carditida; Carditidae.
GCUUUUUUAGUUUAAGAAAAAUUUUUGUUUUGUAAACAAGAGAUAGCAUUUAAGUUGUUAAAAAGCG